UCGCAUGAAUUGGGUUUUUAUAGAGAGGAGAUUAUUGUGUUUUCCCUUCAGUUGAAACCAAUUAUAGUGCGUACAGAGAAAGCCAGUAAUUCUUUAUUGAUUUACUGGCAUCGGCCAGACAACCGUAGAGAUGCGUAUCCACAGAUGACGGGUUAAUUUCCAUCCCGUUGUCUACUGAUUUCAUCUCACAUUC
This is a non-coding RNA of Thalictrum thalictroides, 193 nucleotides long. The record is from the annotation of a GenBank genome assembly. Lineage: Eukaryota; Viridiplantae; Streptophyta; Magnoliopsida; Ranunculales; Ranunculaceae.